Molecule: ribosomal RNA, 663 nt
Filed under: Triticum aestivum (bread wheat)
Lineage: Eukaryota; Viridiplantae; Streptophyta; Magnoliopsida; Poales; Poaceae
Description: partial small subunit ribosomal RNA
Source: RNAcentral
AACUGUCGAGGCUUGGGUCAACCUCGUACAGUUCAAGAGUUGGUGUGCCUCUCAAAGACGCACAUACCCAAUAUUAUCUUUUUAUCUGAAACAAGAAAGAAUAAAGAGUAUGUUGAGAGCUUGCGCUGUAGGUUGGGUAUGAAUAAUGUUUUUACUGUUUCUGGCCAUGGUAAAGGUGGCCAUGGUAAAGGUGGUGGACUAGCUGUGUUUUGGGAUGAGGCGUACUCUUGUGAGCUGAACAAAUAUGGUGACCACUUUAUUGAUUUGUACGUCGACAAGGGAGAGGGAACAAAGUGGAGGUGCACCUUCAUUUACGGUGAGCCUAAGACGAGUCAAAGGUAUGUUAUGUGGGAUCUCUUGAGAUGGAUUAAACCUCUUGGUGUUGGAGCUUGGUUUAUGGUGGGGGAUUUUAACGAAGCUAUGUGGCAAGAAGAGCACUACUCUCAUCAUAAGAGGUCUACUAGACUAAUGGCUAAUUUUCGUGAAGCUUUGUCUGAUUGCAAUUUAUAUGACUUGGGUUACCAUGGCGUGCCUUGGACGUAUAAUAACAAACAAGAUGGAAACAAGAAUGUUAAGGUGCGUCUUGAUCGUGUGGUGGCAUGCCCGCUUUGGUCUUCAAUGUUCCCUCGAUGUAAGGUAUCCCAUAGUAAGCUCCAGGUCUGA